This 76-nucleotide transfer RNA is filed under the name Caudoviricetes sp. RNAcentral describes it as "tRNA-OTHER". It matches the Rfam family "tRNA". Rfam says of the family: Transfer RNA (tRNA) molecules are approximately 80 nucleotides in length. Their secondary structure includes four short double-helical elements and three loops (D, anti-codon, and T loops). Further hydrogen bonds mediate the characteristic L-shaped molecular structure. tRNAs have two regions of fundamental functional importance: the anti-codon, which is responsible for specific mRNA codon recognition, and the 3' end, to which the tRNAs corresponding amino acid is attached (by aminoacyl-tRNA synthetases). tRNAs cope with the degeneracy of the genetic code in two manners: having more than one tRNA (with a specific anti-codon) for a particular amino acid; and 'wobble' base-pairing, i.e. permitting non-standard base-pairing at the 3rd anti-codon position. The record is from RNAcentral. Lineage: Duplodnaviria; Heunggongvirae; Uroviricota; Caudoviricetes.
GCCAGUGUAGCAGAAUGGCAUAUGCAAACGGAUCUAACCCGUUGAUUUGUCGGUUCAAGUCCGACCUCUGGCACCA